UUAGCGGCCGUCCCACUCCUCUUUGUCCAGGUCAUGUUCGGAAAAAAAGGGUUUCCAUGGGCCCAGAGCUUCCUGUGUCUGUCAGGCUCCUUCCAGAGUGGGAAGCAGAGUGCAGCUCUCCAGCCCACCUUGCUAUGUCCUUAGUUCCAGGAAACAUCUCUGGUGAGCAUAUGAGUGUGCCCUGGGUCCUCUGUGCGCGAAGGGCUGUCUCUGGGUCAAUGAUGUCUACGCGGUCUGGGCCUUGAAGAGAGGUGAUGACAUAAAAAUCCUGCUCAAUAGGAUUACGCUGAGGCCCACUGUGGGUGACAGAUUGGUGGCACCGUGCUGGGGAGUCUUAGGAUUCUCCCCAGCGUUGGGAUUGGGAGCUGGAGGCAGGCAGAUGCCUGAGAGGAUGCCACGUGCCUCUCCCCGAUCGCUUCCACGUGAUCGUAGCCUUCUCCACGUUCAGCGGUGUUUUUGGUGCCCAGUAGGACCUCCAAGAUGGCGGUACCAGAGGCCAACUCUUAAAACAAAACGUUUCUCCUCUGGUUGUGUCUUGCAGUGCGACCAUCUCUCCAGAUGGUGGUCGUGGCCUUCACGUCUCAGGUGAUGUUCCGAAAACAGUGGCCUUCAUUUGGCCUAGAGCUCUCCUGGGCUCUGUCUGUCAGGCUCCUUCCAGAGUCGGAACAGUGCAGCUGUCAAGCCCACCUUGCUCUGUCCUCAGCCCCAGGAAACAUCUCUGUGCGACCAUCUCUCCAGAUGGUGGUCGUGGCCUUCACGUUUCAGGUGAGUGGCUGACUUUUGUGUUGCACAGAGAGCUCGUGUGCAUGAGAGUCAGCAGGAGGCUCUCUUUGGGCAAGAGAGACCCUGGUCCUCUAU
Long non-coding RNA from Myotis lucifugus (little brown bat), 858 nucleotides. RefSeq lists it as uncharacterized. NCBI's taxonomy places the organism in Eukaryota, Metazoa, Chordata, Mammalia, Chiroptera, Vespertilionidae. The record is from RefSeq and is a predicted model, not a curated record. The transcript has 3 exons.